RNAcentral lists this ribosomal RNA (254 nucleotides) under uncultured bacterium. RNAcentral's name for it is "partial 16S ribosomal RNA". It matches the Rfam family "Bacterial small subunit ribosomal RNA", at positions 524 to 776 of the family's 1533-position model. The record is from RNAcentral.
UACGUAGGGGGCAAGCGUUGUUCGGAAUGACUGGGCGUGAAGGGUGCGUAGGCGGUGUAGCAAGUUAGAAGUGAAAUACCUAGAGCUUAACUCAGGUGCUGCUUCUAAAACUGCUAUACUUGAGUGCAGUAGAGGAAAGUGGAAUUCCUAGUGUAGCGGUGGAAUGCGUAGAUAUUAGGAGGAACAUCAGUGGCGAAGGCGACUUUCUGGACUGUAACUGACGCUGAGGCACGAAAGUGUGGGGAGCAAACAGG